Molecule: long non-coding RNA, 851 nt
Filed under: Nicotiana benthamiana
Lineage: Eukaryota; Viridiplantae; Streptophyta; Magnoliopsida; Solanales; Solanaceae
Description: long non-coding RNA (NBEN_LNC004700)
Source: RNAcentral
CUAACCUCGACCUCCAUGUAAAUAGAGUCCAAAGGGUCACCUUUAAACAGCAGGAAGAAAUAUGUCCUGUGGAUCAACGAAAUAUGGCAAGUCUGCCAAAGUUCAAUAAUCCUUUUUCGCAGCUUCCCAAAUUCAAGAGGCCAAUCUGAAGGAACUUCCAAUGAGUCUGGCAUAGGAUCCAAUCCAACAUUUUUUAUGUUCCUUUUCGACUUCCCAGAAUCUUGAGCCUAGCACAGAUAUCAUGCAGCUUCCCAAAUUCAAGAGGCCAGUCUGAAGGAACUCCCAAUGAGUCUGGCGUAGGAUCCAAUCCGACAUUUUUUAUAUUCUUUUUCAACUUCACAGAAUCUUGAACCUAGCACAGAUAUCAGGAUGCAUCUAAUUAGGACAAAGUUCAGGAUAAAAACCAGCUUUUCCAAGUGAUUGCUCCGGUCUAUGAUGUUGUUUAUUGACAUUGAAUUUCUCUAGUAAAGAUAUUUAAAGAGAGCGAGAACAUUCUGACAUCAGUUAAUAAGUAAAAGGCUUGGCAGACGCAUCAAUCCAAAAAUUCUAUCAAUUGCUAAAAUAAAGUUGCCACAGAGUAGAAGAAAACUAACAAGAGAGUCUAAUUUAGGAUCUCUGCAUGCACUGAUCUAGCUGAAUUAACUAUUUUCUGCCACUGCCGGCAAUAACCAAAAACAUGGAAGAGAAGAAAGUGGCUAUGCAAGCAUUAUCUGCCAUUAAAUUGACCACAGCGAAAUGACACGCACAAGUUAAAUUCUGCAUAUCUAACUGUAAAUCCAUGCAAACAAAACUUACCGGAAGAAAACAAACAAGGUAACCCAAACAAGCUUAAGUAGGAAUGAAUAUAGUCC